CAUCAGAGACCUGAGACGAUAUUAAGCCUGUCAACAUCACUACGUACAUCAGGGUGGCUUGCUCCCCACAAGCAAACGCUAGUAGCCUAGCAGCUGUGCCAUGGCGGACUUUGCGCCGAACUGGGCCACGAAGGCUGGGCUCAGCCUGCUAACCGUCAACUCGGCGUUCGCCAUCUACCGCUCCGGGGGCAACCUCGCCUCCGUCCUCUUCAUCUCAGGCUCGUACCUCGCCCUGCUCCUCCUCUUCCGCCGCCUCCGCGAAUACGAGCGCGCGCCGCCGGGGUCCCCGGCCAGGGAGCGGGCGAGGCGCGCCGUGUGGCCGCUCACCGCGCUGCUCACGCUGGGGUUUGCCUGGAAGGUCGCCGCGGUCAUGCCCUCGCCCGCCGCGGCCGCCGUCGUGUGGGGCCUAGGGUUCACCUUAUCGGUCGGUAACCGGCGGUUACCGCCAAAUUUUCCCGAUACCGCUACUAGGCGGUAACCCAUACCGGCGGUAAAUUUUAAAAAAUUUCGCCGAAAUUUAAAAUUUUCAAAAAAAUUUGAAAUAAAAAAGGAAAAAAAUAUGGUAAUAAAGUAGAGAUGACAUACAUCAUUCUAAUAUAGAACAUGUUCAAAUAUUUGACUGUUUGGGCAUUCAAAAAAAUAAAAAAACUGCAUUGUGAGCGGUAUUCUCUAAUCACGAGCGGUAUUCGGCGUUUUCCGAGCGGAAAUCGGCGUGUUUGGACCGGAAACCACUGCAUUGCAAAUGGUGGAUCUGGUGUGGGAGCAUGGAGAGAAGAGAGGCAAUGGAUGGAAGUGCAACUAUUGCCAUCAACAGAGGAAUGGGGGAGGAGCAACAAGGCUUAAGGAGCAUUUGGCGCAACGGGAUGUAUAUUGACGAUGAUGGUUUGUAAGGACUACGGUUGUGAUGAUUUGUAUGGACUAUGAUUGUGAUGACUUCUAUGGACUAUGGAUGUGAAUUUCUAUUUUUAUGGAUAUGAACUUUUAUUCUAUGUA
Molecule: RNA transcript, 993 nt
Organism: Panicum virgatum (switchgrass)
Lineage: Eukaryota; Viridiplantae; Streptophyta; Magnoliopsida; Poales; Poaceae
Exons: 2
Source: RefSeq, a predicted model, not a curated record